Molecule: long non-coding RNA, 683 nt
Filed under: Homo sapiens (human)
Lineage: Eukaryota; Metazoa; Chordata; Mammalia; Primates; Hominidae
Description: LNC_000020
Source: RNAcentral
GGCGGGCCGCGGGGCGGGCUCCCGGCCCCGGCCGACGCGCCGCGAGGCGAGCCGGGCGGGCGGGCGCGCGCGCGUACGCGCGGGGAGGGCGAGGAGGACGGGCGGGGCCUCGGAGGAGGGGCGGCGGGGAGGAGGAGGGGCGCGGGAGCGGCGGUCGGCCGGACGCCGGGCCGCCACCGGGGGCGGGCGGCGAACCGCGGCGACCGGGACGCGCUCCCCCGACCCUCUCUCCCCGCCGGCACCCUUCCCCUUCCGGACCCGCCUUCCUCCUCCCCCACCACCACACCGCACGCAACACGCCCCCACCGCCGACGACGCGCGACGACGACGACGACGACGGGCACGGGACCUUCGGGGCGGGCUCCCGGCCCCGGCCGACGCGCCGCGAGGCGAGCCGGGCGGGCGGGCGCGCGCGCGUACGCGCGGGGAGGGCGAGGAGGACGGGCGGGGCCUCGGAGGAGGGGCGGCGGGGAGGAGGAGGGGCGCGGGAGCGGCGGUCGGCCGGACGCCGGGCCGCCACCGGGGGCGGGCGGCGAACCGCGGCGACCGGGACGCGCUCCCCCGACCCUCUCUCCCCGCCGGCACCCUUCCCCUUCCGGACCCGCCUUCCUCCUCCCCCACCACCACACCGCACGCAACACGCCCCCACCGCCGACGACGCGCGACGACGACGACGACGACGG